UCAGUUAUAUGAUUCUAGAUUCAUUAAUUGAUUUAAAGUUGUCUAGUGUUCCAGUGAUUACUAGGCAUGUCUUCUCAGUUUGUUCUGGUGAGUCUAGGGUUUCGUCAUGUUAUUGUAAGACUUUGUACUUUGACAGCUAAUCUAAUGUAGUAGGUGCUAGAAAUGCAUUUCUCGAAUGCCACCAGUGUCAAAAACAACUCUAUGUGUCGUCCAAAACAAUUUGAAAUGUGUCGCCCAAAACAAAUCUUCCAUUUUGCUAAUAGACCAGAGGUUCUCUUGUUUUGCAGUCUCAAUAACUCUAAUUUUCAAACUACUGAGUAUAUAAGGCUACUAAUUUCCAUUGCAACAGCAAUGCCCUCCCCGGAAAUGAUGAAAGCAGGCGCGAUAUCUGAUCACCUCCUCACGGUUAUAAACCCCUGAAAAUAUUUCUGCAAGCUAAUGGCAGUCUCUAUUAUAACUACUUAUUUUUGUUUUAUGGUUGUUUCAUUUGAAUCAGACUAUGUUUCAUGUAUCUCUUUCGUCGAUUGGUAUAUAAGUUUUGGUUGUCUAGGACUUUUAAUAGUGUAGUAAAAUAUUGUGUUGUAUUUAAACUUGAUUUGCAUCAUUUUCUUUUUAUACAAAUUGCUGGCAGUAUUUUACUAUUAUGCCAGCAGUGUUUUUUGUACAGAUUGUAUUCUGACAGGCUAGAGAUUGACAGUCUGCUUCCAUAAUGGAGAGCUAUUGGCACUUGGCACAGGAGCUUGGUAUUAAUUGAAUUGCAAGUCCCUGUAGUUCUCUUCUUUUCUGCCACUUAAAGGAUUGCAGAAGAUUGUUUUAAAGAACUACUAUCCGAGCAUUGAUCACUACUCACCAGGUCGACUACUAUCCACUCCCCGGUGCUCCAUAUAUCUCUGAAGGGUCAAAUUACGAUAGGAAUUUGGCCAAAAACAAUCUCACUGGACUGAUACAAUUCUGUAAUGGAUCAGAGGUUUCAGAUAUUUUUACUGCUGUUAUCCAUUCAAUUUUUUAGUAUAGCAUUGCAGGAUGGUGAGUUCACUUGAUCUUUAUGUUCUUCGUAGUUUUUAUGCCUUCUACUGUGGUUAUGCAUGUUUAAUUUGUGUCUUUAGAUUGCUAAGAAAGUUAAGCAAAAUUUUGAAUUGUAUAUACAGAAGGCUGACUAUGCUUCUUUUUAUGUGCUCCAGUUCCAAGCUUUACG
Long non-coding RNA from Daucus carota subsp. sativus, 1195 nucleotides. RefSeq lists it as uncharacterized. The record is from RefSeq and is a predicted model, not a curated record. The transcript is spliced from 3 exons. Lineage: Eukaryota; Viridiplantae; Streptophyta; Magnoliopsida; Apiales; Apiaceae.